CAAAAACCACGGAAAAAACAUCGCCCACAUCCCAAACCAAAGCCUGUACCAAGUCCUGAAGUAACCGAGUCCAAACCAGUUCCUCCAAGAGAACGUGAACCUGUGACACUCAAAACUGAGACUUGGGUGACAACAAAAGCUCCUAAAACACCAAAACGAACCCGUCGUCCACGUCCCAAACCUCAAACCACACCAACUCCUGAGACUCCUCUAACCAAACCUGGUAAAUUGAGUGUCUGGUCACAGGGAUACUUAUAGAAGCUCUGGGGAAGCCAUAAGGAAGUCCAAUGGUAGAAUGAUGAGCUCGUGGGAGAUUA
Molecule: non-coding RNA, 317 nt
Organism: Mus caroli (Ryukyu mouse)
Lineage: Eukaryota; Metazoa; Chordata; Mammalia; Rodentia; Muridae
Source: RefSeq, a predicted model, not a curated record